AUGGCUCUUACUUCUCAGAAGGGUCCAAGCCCUCCAUGGCCUGUAGUUGGUGCUGGACUGCAACAAAAUGUCUGUGAGCCAUGCAAGAGCCAAGCUGAGACUUUCCUUCCACUGUGCAGAGGAAUGAUAUCACCCCACCUUUGGCUGCAUGCAUCACUUUUACUCAAGACUAGCAUCUCACAUGAUUUACAAGAACAUAAGACAAGCUGGAGUCUGUACAUUGGGCUCUCGUACAUUGGAGCCCCUAGUGGACAAGGACCAGAAGCUGUCAACCUGCAAAUGAGCACCUGUUCUCCUUAAAGUUACUGACCAAUGUGAAGAGAGACACUAGAAAGACUGCAGAUGUAUUUCAUUCAGGUACGACAUAAAAGGGUGUCAGAACUACCAAAAGAGCAGUAAGAGACUUGCUGUGGGUAAAUUCAGUUUAUGUCAGUGCGAGGGACUAGCAUAUGUAGCAAGGAGAGGAGGCUGCCUUUCAAUACAUAGAGAUUCAUGACUGGUGACACAAAAUUGCUUGAUUUACCAUUUUGCAUUUUAUUUCAGGACUCUUUUGUGAGAUCCAGAGGAUAUCUUCUUACUCCUGUCCAUGUUUCAGUACCCUUGCUUAUUCUUCAUAGCACUUGACUACAUGUGUAGGCUGACCUUUUCAUUCAUGACCUUUCCCUGAACGAAAAACAAUUACAAAAUAAGGUACUUGUCAAAGUGAAUGUAUCUGAAAGAAAUUUGGUGUUUAUACUCUGAGCUUUCUUGUUCAUGCUGAGGUUUCUGUUUCUGCUCCCUUUUUACCUCUAAAAUUAUUCUUGUCUCUCACGUUAUCUCUGAACACAGCUCAAAUUCUUUGUGUACUCUUUUCAUUCUUCAGUAUUAUUUUUGCUCACUUUCAAAUGAAAUCUCUUUGCAGCGGCUUUUAGAUUAUCCCCAGCUGUCAGAGACAGUACCUUUCUAAAUACUGGUAGCACUAGUAGAAUAGUAAGUACGUGUACUGCGCUGUAUUUGAUUAAACAACAACAAAAAGUAACAACUUUUGAAGAAGCUUUUUAGAAGUUUCAGGUGUGAAGAAUAAGACAUGAAGGCUCUUGGAAAUUUUAAUAAAUGGGCAAAGAGGGGGUGGGAGCUGAUGAGG
This 1123-nucleotide long non-coding RNA is filed under the name Anas platyrhynchos platyrhynchos (common mallard). RNAcentral's name for it is "lncRNA (ENSAPLG00000027854.1)". Lineage: Eukaryota; Metazoa; Chordata; Aves; Anseriformes; Anatidae. The record is from RNAcentral.